CUAUUUGGUUGAGUGGUGGGAAUGGAAGUCAUAUUGGCGUGGGUGGGGAGUGAGAGGUAGGUGAGAAAAUGAAAUCAGUGGGUGAAGGCAAAUUUUUUAAGAGAUUUGCAUUUGAAGAGUGAAAAAGAGUAUGUGAGAACAUGUAUUUGGUUUUCUGUUUCUGCAUUAAUUCACUUAGGAUUAUGGCCUGCAGCUGCAUCCAUGUGUCUGCAAAGGACAUGAAUUCAUUCUUUUUAAUGGCUGCAUAGUAUUUUAUGGUGUGUACGUACCACAUUUUCUUUAUCAAAUCCAUCAAUGAUGGGCGCCUAGGUUGAUCCCAUGUCUUCAUUUUGAAUAGAGCAGCAAUGAACAUACAAUUUAUUUUACUUUGGAUAUAUACCCAGUCAUGGGAUUGCUGGGUCAAAUGGUAGCUGUGUUUUAAGUUCUUUGAGAAAUCUCCAAACUGCUUUCCGCAGUGGCUGAACU
This 465-nucleotide long non-coding RNA is filed under the name Homo sapiens (human). Its description in RNAcentral is "non-protein coding lnc-MRPL39-21:1". The record is from RNAcentral. Lineage: Eukaryota; Metazoa; Chordata; Mammalia; Primates; Hominidae.